CCUUAAGCUUUUAAUGAGACAGACGAAGGCUCUGGAAAGUGCCGCAGUAAAGGGUGAUAGCCCCGUAGUCGACAUCUCAUAAUCAGUGAAAACGAGUAGGGCGGGACACGUGAUAUCCUGUCUGAAUAUGGGGGGACCAUCCUCCAAGGCUAAAUACUACUGACUGACCGAUAGUGAACCAGUACCGUGAGGGAAAGGCGAAAAGAACCCCUGUGAGGGGAGUGAAAUAGAACCUGAAACCGUGUACGUACAAGCAGUAGGAGCACCUUCGUGGUGUGACUGCGUACCUUUUGUAUAAUGGGUCAGCGACUUAAUUUUAGUAGCAAGGUUAACCGUUUAGGGGAGCCGUAGGGAAACCGAGUCUUAACUGGGCGUACAGUUGCUAGGAUUAGACCCGAAACCAGGUGAUCUAGCCAUGGGCAGGUUGAAGGUUGAGUAACAUCAACUGGAGGACCGAACCGACUAAUGUUGAAAAAUUAGCGGAUGACUUGUGGCUAGGGGUGAAAGGCCAAUCAAACCUGGAGAUAGCUGGUUCUCCCCGAAAGCUAUUUAGGUAGCGCCUCGGACGAAUACUACUGGGGGUAGAGCACUGUUAAGGCUAGGGGGUCAUCCCGACU
Molecule: ribosomal RNA, 617 nt
Filed under: Vibrio cyclitrophicus
Lineage: Bacteria; Pseudomonadati; Pseudomonadota; Gammaproteobacteria; Vibrionales; Vibrionaceae
Description: bacterial LSU rRNA
Rfam family: Bacterial large subunit ribosomal RNA
Source: RNAcentral